AAACCAGCACCUCAAGUGGUCAGGAGGUUUAUUGGGCCUAAAGCAUCCGUAGCCUGAUCUAUAAGUUUCCGGUUAAAUCCACAUGCUCAACAUUUGGGCUGCCGGAAAAACUGUAGAUCUAGGGAGUGGGAGAGGUAGACGGUACUCGGUAGGAAGGGGUAAAAUCCUUUGAUCUAUUGAUGACCACCAGUGGCGAAGGCGGUCUACCAGAACACGUUCGACGGUGAGGGAUGAAAGCUGGGGGAGCAAACCGGAUUAGAAACCCUAGUAGUCC
This 274-nucleotide ribosomal RNA is filed under the name uncultured bacterium. RNAcentral's name for it is "partial 16S ribosomal RNA". It matches the Rfam family "Archaeal small subunit ribosomal RNA", at positions 473 to 747 of the family's 1478-position model. The record is from RNAcentral.